Molecule: ribosomal RNA, 615 nt
Filed under: Apilactobacillus kunkeei
Lineage: Bacteria; Bacillati; Bacillota; Bacilli; Lactobacillales; Lactobacillaceae
Description: bacterial SSU rRNA
Rfam family: Bacterial small subunit ribosomal RNA
Source: RNAcentral
GAGUGGCGAACUGGUGAGAUAACACGGUGGGUAACCUGCCCCGAAGCGGGGGAUAACAUUUGGAAACAAGUGCUAAUACCGCAUAAUUAGUUGGAACCGCAUGGUUCCAACUUGAAAGAUGGCUCUGCUAUCACUUUGGGAUGGACCCGCGCCGUAUUAGUUAGUUGGUGAGAUAAAAGCCCACCAAGACGAUGAUACGUAGCCNACCUGAGAGGGUAAUCGGCCACAUUGGGACUGAGACACGGCCCAGACUCCUACGGGAGGCAGCAGUAGGGAAUCUUCCACAAUGGACGAAAGUCUGAUGGAGCAACGCCNCGUGAGUGAUGAAGGUUUUCGGAUCGUAAAACUCUGUUGUUAAAGAAGAACAAGUGUUAGAGUAACUGUUAACACUUUGACGGUAUUUAACCAGAAAGCCACGGCUAACUACGUGCCAGCAGCCGCGGUAAUACNUAGGUGGCAAGCGUUGUCCGGAUUUAUUGGGCGUAAAGCGAGCGCAGGCGGUUUUGUAAGUCUGCUGUGAAAGCCCUCAGCUCAACUGAGGAAGUGCAGUGGAAACUACAAAACUUGAGUACAGAAGAGGAAAGUGGAACUCCAUGUGUAGCGGUGAAAUGCGUA